CGCGACGAGUGUUGCGUUUCGGAGAGGUCCGGCACGACCUGCCAUGGCGCCUAAGUCUCUAGUUUGGAACGCGGCUACUACCCAGGGAGGGUGAUAGGCCCGUGUGGCGGCGUCCGCGAGGACACAUUGGCAAGCGUCGGAAAGGGCCUCUCUGUAGAGUCGGGUUGCUUGAAAGUGCAGCCCAAAGCAGGUGGUAAACUCCAUCUAAGGCUAAAUAUGACCAGGAGACCGAUAGCGAACAAGUACCGUGAGGGAAAGUUGAAAAGAACUUUGAAGAGAGAGUUCAAGAGUACGUGAAACCGUUAGGAGGAAAACGGAUGGAACCUCGAAGGUCGAACAGGGGCGUUCAGGUCGUCGGGUGUUGGAUGUGGUCGGGUGUUCGUUAAUUCGCAUGCGAACCAAGCAAGAGUGCUUGGGUCGCGCUCGACUGCAUGCUGACGUCGGCGGGCGAUUUUCGCCUCUCAGUAGGGCGCCGCGACCCGUUGCUGGGGACGUCUAAGGCCCGGAUGGAAUGGUAGCCCACCUUCGAACCGACCCCUUUUAGUCCAUUCGUUUGGCGGGGGUCGGCGAGGGGGUGUGUGAAACCUCCGGUUGCUUCCUGGCUGCCCUGCGACGGUCGUAGAGACAUAGACAUGGCUGGCAGCAGCAGCGUCAUCUGCUGUUGUUGUUGGUUGGGUUUUUUGUUCUCGCGGCGUGCACAGUUCAGUGUUCCAUCCGACCCGUCUUGAAACACGGACCAAGGAGUCUAACAUGUGUGCAAGUCAGUGGGCGAACUAAACCCAAAGGCGUAAUGAAAGUGACAGAAAUGUCGUCUGUGUGCGGCCUUGUGUCGACAUGUGACCAUGAAGGGCCGAUCCCCAGCCGUAUGCCUCUCUGCCUCUUCUUUCCGGACGUUACUCCGGCAUGCCUAGGUGAGCUAUUUUCCCUGGCCACUGCCCACUGGAGUCGUCCCGUGUGUGGGGGUUUUGGCUGGAGAGCGAAGGCAUAAUAUAUCCUGUCUGCAGGGGGGGCGCAGGCCCGGGACUUGCCAGGACGCCGCUACGCUAGCAGCAGCAGCAGCAGCAUCACGCGUGCAGUCGGCAAGUACCAUGAGCAGACAUGUUAGCACCCGAAAGAUGGUGAACUAUGCCUGGCCAGGAUGAAGCCAGAGGAAACUCUGGUGGAGGUCCGCAGCGAUUCUGACGUGCAAAUCGAUCGUCCGAGCUGGGUAUAGGGGCGAAAGACUAAUCGAACCAUCUAGUAGCUGGUUCCCUCUGAAGUUUCCCUCAGGAUAGCUGGUACUCGAGGGAAGACUUUCAUCUGGUAAAGCGAAUGAUUAGAGGUCUUGGGGACGAAACGUCCUCAACCUAUUCUCAAACUUUAAAUGGGUGAGAUGCCAAGCUUGCUUGUUUUUGUUGGAUUUCAAAUGAAGCUUCGGCGAUGAAUCUAGAGUAUCUAGUGGGCCACUUUUGGUAAGCAGAACUGGCGCUGUGGGAUGAACCAAACGUCGAGUUAAGGGGCCUAAAUGAAUGCUCAUUCAGAUCCCAUCGAAAGGUGUUGGUUGCUAUAGACAGCAGGACGGUGGCCAUGGAAGUUGGAAUCCGCUAAGGAGUGUGUAACAACUCACCUGCCGAAGCAAGUAGCCCUUAAAAUGGUAUGGCGCUUAAGCAUUCUCCCGAUACUCGACCGCCGGGGCACUGGCGGCCACGCCCGACUAUGGGCGAGGUCUCGAAGCCCCGGUGAGUAAGAGGGUCGCAGUGGUGAGCGCAGAAGGGAUCCGGCGUGAGCCGGCCUGGAGCCGCCACUGGUGCAGAUCUUGGUGGUAGUAGCAAAUAUUCGAGAGAGACUGUGACCUGGAAGACCGAAGUGGGGAAGGGUUCCAUGUGAACAUCACUUGGACAUGGGUUAGUCGCUCCUAAGCUCGAGGCCAAGGCCUGAUCCCAAGGUGGUGGCGAUGGGGUAGGUCGCCAUCACCGUGCCCACGUGUACAAUAAUAACCGUACGGUGUCGUUGCGAUAGCUAUCCUGCUUAGUACGAGAGGAACGGCAGGUCCGGACCAAUGGUUUUCUACUCUCCACGGUCAAUCGGCCACCAGUGGAGAAAAAGGCUACGUCCGUGGGAUUAUGCAGCAGCUUAAUCCCGGCUGGAGAAGAAGCAACGAUAUCGUGUAUGGCUCUCGGUCUCUCUCUAUCUCCUCCAACCCCCUUCAUCGACUUAUCCAGGCCAUCAAUGUUUUGUUGAACGCAAGAUGAAUAGGUAGGUUUAAAAAAAGAUGAAGGAAAGGAGGAGGAGGAGGACGAGGACGACGAGCCGGAGGUGAAAGACGCACGGAUUGUACAAUAAUAAUAAUAAUAACCCUACUGUGUCGUUGCGAUAGCUAUCCUGCUUAGUACGAGAGGAACGGCAGGUCCGGACCAAUGGUUUUUUCUCCUCUUCGUGGUCGAUCGACCAGUGGAGAGGGGAGGCGCUACGUCCGUGGGAUUAUGCAGCUGGUGUAGCAGCAGCAGCUUAAUCCCGGCUGGAGAAGAAGCAACGAUAUCGCUGGGGGGGGGGGGUUGUGUGAUCAACAGUAGCAGCAGCAGCAGCAGCGGAACACCGAAAGCAUAUGAGACUCUGUGCCUUCGUCUUGCCUGCCUGCCUGUGAUCAGUGGCGAAAGGGAAUAUGGCACUUAUUCCUUGACCAUGUGCUCGGAUAGCCAAGCAGGCGCAGGGCUUCAUUGCUCUGCGUCUGUGGAGGAACCUGGUAACAGGAACCAGCUCGCGUCCGCCGGCGGUGGUCCGGGAAAGAGUUUUCUUUUCUGUUUUAGGCGCCGUGACCCUAGAAUCCACUCGCAGAGCGAAAGGGGGUUAGGUAUCACGGUUAGCCGUAGAGCGCCGCAGUUCUUGCGGCGUCCCGCGUGCCAUCGCCGGACCUUGAAACCGCGAGGCAGGG
RNAcentral lists this ribosomal RNA (2911 nucleotides) under Engaeus sericatus. RNAcentral's name for it is "eukaryotic LSU rRNA". It matches the Rfam family "Eukaryotic large subunit ribosomal RNA", at positions 135 to 1823 of the family's 3401-position model. The record is from RNAcentral. Lineage: Eukaryota; Metazoa; Arthropoda; Malacostraca; Decapoda; Parastacidae.